RNAcentral lists this transfer RNA (73 nucleotides) under Marmota monax (woodchuck). Its description in RNAcentral is "tRNA.Thr". Lineage: Eukaryota; Metazoa; Chordata; Mammalia; Rodentia; Sciuridae. The record is from RNAcentral.
GGGGUUAUAGCUCAGGGGUAGAGUACUUGCCUAGUAUGUAUGAAGCACUGAGUUUGAGCCUCCCUCAGCACCA